Molecule: non-coding RNA, 334 nt
Organism: Manis javanica (Malayan pangolin)
Lineage: Eukaryota; Metazoa; Chordata; Mammalia; Pholidota; Manidae
Source: RefSeq, a predicted model, not a curated record
AUGAAUCACUAAUUAUUAUCUGUAUGUGUGUUUUCCUCCAAGGGGCUUCUUCCCACUUCCGGAUAAACCCUCAGAAGAGCGUAAGAAUCAGAAGGGCUUUUCCUGAAGAUGGUGGCUUUGGCUCAGGAAUAUGUACAGAACUGUCAGUCCCUCAUGUGAGAAAAACCUGGCACAGAAGCUCCUUGGGAAGGAUGGAGGGGAGCUCAGUGAAGUCGUAAUAGGGAAGAAUGUGACUUCAGGGUCAGGUGCUGAAGGGAGGAGAGUGAAGCCCAUGAUACCAGCACAGAGGGAGCCCCAGACUGCCCGGGGGCCACCUACAACGUUUCUAAUAUUG